UGGGGAAUUGUUCACAAUGGGCGCAAGCCUGAUGACGCAACGCCGCGUGGGGGAUGAAGGUCUUCGGAUCGUAAACCCCUGUCGAACGGGACGAAAGACUCGCGAGUUAAUACUGCGCGAGAGUGACGGUACCGUUAAAGGAAGCCACGGCUAACUCUGUG
Molecule: ribosomal RNA, 161 nt
Filed under: uncultured bacterium
Lineage: Bacteria
Description: partial 16S ribosomal RNA
Rfam family: Bacterial small subunit ribosomal RNA
Source: RNAcentral